UUGUUAGUUUUUAAGACUCUUGUUAUUACAUAAGGUCAUAUAGUAUACAUGAUUAUACAUUCUGAGUGUUAAACCACUAAGAAUUAGCUGAAGGAGAAAAGCCCGAAAAUAAAAAUGAACAUAUUUAAGUAAUGACACGGUGUGUCUUUUGAAUGUAAUAUUUUAAUGUUUUUGACUGUUUUAAUAGUCAAAAUAGUGCUAGUCAUAGUCAUUUAAUAGUCAUAAUAGUGCUAGUUAUGAUCAUGUAUCCACAUCCAUAAGCAGUGAAUAAGAACAGAGGUAUUUCCUUAGGU
RNAcentral lists this long non-coding RNA (293 nucleotides) under Bos taurus (domestic cattle). Its description in RNAcentral is "long non-coding RNA NONBTAT018726". The record is from RNAcentral. Lineage: Eukaryota; Metazoa; Chordata; Mammalia; Artiodactyla; Bovidae.